Molecule: vault RNA, 90 nt
Filed under: Sphenodon punctatus (tuatara)
Lineage: Eukaryota; Metazoa; Chordata; Lepidosauria; Sphenodontia; Sphenodontidae
Description: Vault RNA (ENSSPUG00000015856.1)
Rfam family: Vault RNA
About the family: This family of RNAs are found as part of the enigmatic vault ribonucleoprotein complex. The complex consists of a major vault protein (MVP), two minor vault proteins (VPARP and TEP1), and several small untranslated RNA molecules.
Source: Rfam by way of RNAcentral
AGGUCAGCUUUAGCCCAGCGGUUCCUUCGAUUGCAUCCGAAUUAACCAAGUUCCUUGGUUCGUGUCCCGCGGGCGCUGCCUGGCCUUUUG